Silurus meridionalis is the source of this 281-nucleotide long non-coding RNA. RefSeq lists it as uncharacterized. The record is from RefSeq and is a predicted model, not a curated record. NCBI's taxonomy places the organism in Eukaryota, Metazoa, Chordata, Actinopteri, Siluriformes, Siluridae. The transcript has 3 exons.
GAUCUUCUGGCAUGAAUGAAUAACCUGAGCCACAAGACAUUUUCUUCUCUCUCUAAGGAAAUCUGUAAAAACUCCACACGAGUCUUCCAGGCAUCAUGAUCCUCCUUUCUAUUUCCAUCUUCUGGCUCUCUGUCUGUGUGGACCCCAUCAGUGCAGAUCCUCACAUUACUGUAGAAGCUCAUGUGGGUUCCACAGCUCUCCUGCCAUGUAGCCUGAGUAAAGACUUCAGCAAAACUCCACAUGUUCAGUGGCGUACUGAUGAUAAGAUUGUGUUUGAGAGA